This 907-nucleotide ribosomal RNA is filed under the name Neostyriaca brembina alanica. RNAcentral describes it as "Clausilia brembina alanica partial 16S ribosomal RNA". The record is from RNAcentral. Lineage: Eukaryota; Metazoa; Mollusca; Gastropoda; Stylommatophora; Clausiliidae.
UUAAACAACAAUAUCUUAAAAUUAAAUGACCCGAAGCGAAAAGAGCUAACUAUUCACAAUAAUUGCUCUAUUAGGGGUGAACAGGUAAUGUCGCAAAAUUACUUGCUAGAUGUAAUAGUUAGGGGUGAAAGGCUAUUCAAAUUUCGCUGAUAACUGGAUUAAACUGAAAAAUAUUAAGUAUUUUAAUACAAGCUCAAAAAUCUAAGCUUUUGAGCUUAUUAAGAUGUAUGUGCGCGCAAGUAAAAAUCAACUUUAUUAAUAUAAUACUGCCUUGACUAAUCAAUAAUUAAUUUACUAUUACUUUUAAAUCUUUAAGUUUAUUUUCUUAAGUUAUUUAUUAACUUGUAUUAAUAAUGUUUAAAUGAGUACAGAAGAUAAAAAAAAAAAAGGAACUCGGCAAAGAUGUUCUUCAGCUGUUUAUCAAAAACAUAGCUAGUAGAUACUUAUUACUAGUUAGCUCUGCCCGGUGAUAUAAAAUUUAACGGCCGCAGUACACUGACUGUGCAAAGGUAGCAUAAUCAAUUGGCCAUUAAAUGUGGUCGAGUAUGAAAGAGUACAUGGGGAAAAGCUGUCUUUUUGUCUUUUUUCUGUAACUUACUAAGCAAGUGCAAAAACUUGCGUUAUAUUAUAAUAGACGAGAAGACCCUAUAAAUUUUCACUAAUAUUAGGACUGGCCUAGCUCGUUUUUGUUGGGGCAACAGUAUAACACAAUAAGGUAAUUUAUAGUAAUAAUGUAAGUUAAUAGUUCGAGUUUUACUAAGAAUAAAUAAAUUACUAUAGGGAUAACAGCAUAAUUUUAUUGUUAAGAUUGUGACCUCGAUGUUGGAAUUAGAACUUAACAAAUUAUCAGUUUGGUUAAGGGGUUCUGUUCGAACUUUAUNNCCUACAUGAUCUGAGUUCAGACCGG